GCUACCUCAUGGCGUAGUGGUUAACGCCACUGUUUUUGAAUUUCAUAUCGCGGGUUCAAUCCCGCCAGGUGGCA
This is a non-coding RNA of Caenorhabditis brenneri, 74 nucleotides long. The record is from the annotation of a GenBank genome assembly. NCBI's taxonomy places the organism in Eukaryota, Metazoa, Nematoda, Chromadorea, Rhabditida, Rhabditidae.